Molecule: ribosomal RNA, 408 nt
Filed under: uncultured bacterium
Lineage: Bacteria
Description: bacterial SSU rRNA
Rfam family: Bacterial small subunit ribosomal RNA
Source: RNAcentral
UCGAGAAUAUUCGACAAUGGGCGAAAGCCUGAUCGAGCGACGCCGCGUGCAGGAAGAAGGUCUUAGGAUUGUAAACUGCUUUUCUACCGGAGAAACUUUUGUGAUAGUACGGUAGGAAUAAGAAGCUGCUAACUUCGUGCCAGCAGCAGCGGUAAUACGAAGGCUUCAAGCGUUAUCCGGAUUUAUUGGGCGUAAAGGGCGCGUAGGAGGUCAGACACGUUUUGCUUUAAAUCCCUAGGCUCAACUUAGGGAAUGGGUAGAAUACGGUCAGACUAGAGGGCGUUAGAGGUCACUAGAACGCACGGUGUAGGGGUGAAAUCCGUUGAUAUCGUGCGGAAUACCAAAGGCGAAGGCAUGUGACUGGGACGUUCCUGACUCUGAGGCGCGAAAGCGUGGGGAGCAAAAAGG